GGCUCUGUGGCGCAAUGGAUAGCGCGUUGGACUUCUAGUAGUUCUUGUCAGAUGUAAUUCAAAGGUUGUGGGUUCAAAUCCCACCAGAGUCA
This 92-nucleotide transfer RNA is filed under the name Oreochromis niloticus (Nile tilapia). It matches the Rfam family "tRNA". From Rfam's summary of the family: Transfer RNA (tRNA) molecules are approximately 80 nucleotides in length. Lineage: Eukaryota; Metazoa; Chordata; Actinopteri; Cichliformes; Cichlidae. The record is from Rfam by way of RNAcentral.